GGAGCUGCUCAGAUGCAUACGAAACAAUUAGACUGUGAAAGCCUCCUUAAAGAUGAAAGAACAAACAGACUGACUUUUGUAGGAGUGGCAAGAAUUUCACGAUCGGAUGGCUUGUCACCAGGCUGUGAGUGUCAUGUUCCUGGGGACUAGAGGAACAGGAGGGGCCCUAGCAGGUUUCAGUGUGAGGAAAUGUGCAAUCCAUGCUCUCAGGGACCUCCCUAGCAUGCAGAGUCCCUGAGGUAACGUUUGCAAAGCCUUUGAGCUCCUGCGAAGAGGGGUUCCAGAAACACGAGGCAGUUGUCAAAACAUCUGGAUGGAUCCAGACUGGUUACCUGCUAGUCUUGAUGCAAAAUGGCAUCGGCUCUAAAGCACUGAGGUCUACAGAGGAGACGGAAACUAACGGGUUCGCUGGUAUGAAUGUCAAGACGCAGAAGCCCUGUCUUCUAAAAACACAGUCAUCCCCAGUUCCCCAGAUAAUGGUCCUCCUAGUAUUUGCAGAGUCGUGAUGUCUGUGACAGGCCCUUUACUAAGGCCUGCCAUCCCCGUAAGUCUGUGUGCCGAAGACUGAUGGAGGCAUGAAGGGCUUUUGAGCCACAGGCAUCUCUGUGAAGAGGAAUAAAUGUAGAUACCCACAGCCACGCAAGCCAGCCUUGGCUCAGUCUCCUCUCUCAUUUCAGCUGCCUUUGCAAACUGUGAGGAACAGGACUGAGCCAGUCUUAAUCCUGAGACUUGGUUAGCUUUAACUGUCCACCUGAUGAGUCUAGAGUCAUCUGAGAAGGACAAUUGAGGAGUUGUCUGGAUCUUACUAGCCUGUGGACAUGUGGGGGGUUCUUGAAUGCUAAUUGAUACGAUACGGGAGGGCCCUGUCCACUGAGGGUGGCACCAUUCCCUGGGAACGGUGGUCCUGCACUGUAUAAGAAAGACAACAAGGAGCCUGCAAUGGAACCAGCAAGUAGCAUUUUCCACCAUGGUUUCUUCUUCGUGUUCCUCUCUGACUUCCCUCACUGCUGGACUCUCAGUAACCUUUAGAAAUAAACCCAUUUCUCCCCUUUU
Long non-coding RNA from Mesocricetus auratus (golden hamster), 1053 nucleotides. RefSeq lists it as uncharacterized. The transcript is spliced from 2 exons. The record is from RefSeq and is a predicted model, not a curated record. NCBI's taxonomy places the organism in Eukaryota, Metazoa, Chordata, Mammalia, Rodentia, Cricetidae.